GUUCAACGGCCGCGGUAUCCUAACCGUGCGAAGGUAGCGUAAUCACUUGUUCUUUAAAUGAGGACUAGUAUGAAUGGCACCACGAGGGUUAUGCUGUCUCCUUUUUCUAAUCAAUGAAACUGAUCUCCCCGUGAAGAAGCGGGGAUGUAAGUAUAAGACGAGAAGACCCUAUGGAGCUUUAAACAACGUAACACUGACUUACAUAUUAUAAUGUUCCAGAACUAUCAUAAUUAUUCUAGCCUCUAUGAUUACUAGUUUUAGGUUGGGGUGACCACGGAGAAAAAAUUAACCUCCAUGUUGAAUGGAAUUAUUCCUGAGCUAAAAGCCACGACUUUAAGCACUAAUAAAUUAACAUAAAUUGACCCAAUAUUUUGAUCAACGAACCAAGUUACCCUAGGGAUAACAGCGCAAUCCAUUUUAAGAGCCCCUAUCGACAAAUGGGUUUACGACCUCGAUGUUGGAUCAGGGUAUCCUAGUGGUGCAGCCGCUACUAAAGGUUCGUUUGUUCAACGAUUAAAACCC
RNAcentral lists this ribosomal RNA (522 nucleotides) under Dendropsophus minutus (lesser treefrog). RNAcentral's name for it is "partial 16S ribosomal RNA". It matches the Rfam family "Bacterial large subunit ribosomal RNA", at positions 1922 to 2596 of the family's 2925-position model. Lineage: Eukaryota; Metazoa; Chordata; Amphibia; Anura; Hylidae. The record is from RNAcentral.